Molecule: ribosomal RNA, 402 nt
Filed under: Verrucomicrobiota bacterium
Lineage: Bacteria; Pseudomonadati; Verrucomicrobiota
Description: Verrucomicrobia bacterium partial 16S ribosomal RNA
Rfam family: Bacterial small subunit ribosomal RNA
Source: RNAcentral
UGGGGAAUUUUGCACAAUGGGGGAAACCCUGAUGCAGCGACGCCGCGUGAUUUAGAAGGCCUUCGGGUUGUAAAAAUCUUUUUUAUGGGAUGAAAAUGACAGUACCAUAAGAAUAAGGUCCGGCUAAAUACGUGCCAGCAGCCGCGGUAAUACGUAUGGACCGAGCGUUGUCCGGAAUCAUUGGGCGUAAAGGGUACGUAGGCGGCCCAGUAAGUUAGAAGUGAAAUAAUAUAGCUCAACUAUAUAAAGCUUUUAAAACUGCUAGGCUUGAGAGAUGGAAGGGAAAGUGGAAUUCCUAGUGUAGCGGUGAAAUGCGCAGAUAUUAGGAAGAAUACCGGUGGCGAAGGCGACUUACUGGGCUCAUUCUGACGCUGAGGAACGAAAGCGUGGGUAGCAAACAGG